GUCUACGGCCAUGCUACCCUGAACAAGCCCGAUCCUGUCUGAUUUCAGAAGCUAAGCAGGGUCGGGCCUGGUUAGUACCUGGAUGGGAGACCACAUAGGAAGACCGGAUGCUAUAUGAG
RNAcentral lists this ribosomal RNA (119 nucleotides) under Pteropus alecto (black flying fox). The record is from RNAcentral. Lineage: Eukaryota; Metazoa; Chordata; Mammalia; Chiroptera; Pteropodidae.